AGAGUUUGAUCAUGGCUCAGGAUGAACGCUGGCGGCGUGCCUAACACAUGCAAGUCGAACGGAGGGGGCAACCCUUCAGUGGCGCACGGGUGAGGAACACGUAGCUGACCUGCCUUCGGGUUUGGGAUAACGUUUCGAAAGAGACGCUAAUACCGGAUAAGCUCCCGCGCUUUAGAGGCGCGAGAGAAAAGGGGAAACCCGCCUGAAGAGGGGGCUGCGGCCCAUCAGGUAGAUGGUGAGGUAACGGCUCACCAUGCCGACGACGGGUCGGGGGUCUGAGAGGAUGGCCCCCCACACUGGGACUGAGACACGGCCCAGACUUCUACGGAAGGCAGCAGUGAGGAAUAUUGCGCAAUGGGGGCAACCCUGACGCAGCGACGCCGCGUGGGCGAUGAAGGUCUUCGGAUCGUAAAGCCCUUUUACCGAUGACGAGACAGGACGGUAGUCGGUGAAUAAGCCUCGGCUAACUACGUGCCAGCCGCCGCGGUAAUUC
RNAcentral lists this ribosomal RNA (493 nucleotides) under uncultured bacterium. Its description in RNAcentral is "partial 16S ribosomal RNA". It matches the Rfam family "Bacterial small subunit ribosomal RNA", at positions 8 to 526 of the family's 1533-position model. The record is from RNAcentral.